CCGGCUCCCCCAAGCGUCCUCCAGACCCUGAAGUUCUCUCUGAAUUCCCUCCCCUGACCCAAAACUGCCCCAAAUGUGCCCCAGAAAUGUCUCCAUAGACCCCAAAGAAAUAAAAAUUGGACUAAUUAGCAUAAAGUGGGAGAAAUAGUGGUCAAUUCAUUAUCGAAGAGAAUUUUGUUACUUAGAACCAAUGAGCAAUAAUUGUUUAGUUGCUAAAAAGUUAUGAAUUCUUUUAUGGAAAUAUAAAAUUUGGUAGUGAAAACAUUGAAUAAUAUAAUUAUUAAAUACAUAUAUAUAGGUUUAUUAAAUAAUUAUAUUUUAGUUGUAAAUAAAAAAUAAUAAAUAUUUCCAGUGUUUCAAAAGUUCAAGUCCCUUUUAUUCCUUUCUAGUGUUUUGUAAAGUGGUGUUCCUAACAUAUUAGUCCGGGAUCUCAGUAUAACAAAGAAGGAGGGCUGUAUAAUUCCUAAGAUCCAAAAAGCGUCGGAUUCUUUCCCACCUGCGUUGUUCUGCGUCCGGAUUUAAUGGAGUUCCUGUCAGCAGCCAAUCCAGAAUGCCUGUUUUCUCUAAUGGAUUAAAGUUAGUUGCAAUCAUAAAGCACAAACUCUUUACUGAUUAAUUAUCAGGAGAAAUCUUAUUGUAUCCACAUCACACUUGUAUUACUCUCUGUUGCUCUUGCAGUGUCCUUAAAGCCACCAUUCAUUCUGAGCAGU
Molecule: long non-coding RNA, 710 nt
Filed under: Cyanistes caeruleus (blue tit)
Lineage: Eukaryota; Metazoa; Chordata; Aves; Passeriformes; Paridae
Description: lncRNA (ENSCCEG00000001881.1)
Source: RNAcentral